Molecule: ribosomal RNA, 300 nt
Filed under: uncultured archaeon
Lineage: Archaea
Description: partial 16S ribosomal RNA
Rfam family: Bacterial small subunit ribosomal RNA
Source: RNAcentral
GGCGAACUCGUGGAAGGAGCUGGGGGAAUGAUGAGGUGGGAUGGGUUGUCCGGAAGGAGUGGGCGUAAAGCGUCAGGAGGGAGGUAUGCAAGGCUGCGGGGAAAGACUGGGGCGUAAGCCUGGAAAGGCCGGUGAAACUGAGGAGCUAGAGUGGAGUAGGGGGAGAGGGAAUUCCCGGGGUAGCGGUGAAAUGCGUAGAGCUCGGGAAGAACAUCGGUGGCGAAAGCGCUCUACUGGACUGCAACUGACACUCAGGGACGAAAGCUAGGGGAGCGAAUGGGAUUAGAUACCCUAGUCGUC